GGGGCCGACCAGGUUUCGACGUGGGUACGGAUCCGAAGCAGGGCAUGCCGAGCACCAGUUCGCUCGUAAAUCCACUGGAAACGAAGUAACUGCGAACGACGAACGUUUCGCCCUUGCCGCUUAACACCGGUGAGCCUCGCAACAGUUGGCCCAUGGGCUGGGCCUGAGGUCGCAAGACCAAGGGCUGCGAGGUCAUUCACAUGGGCUGCGCCCCGAGCCGGGUCACUCGGCAUGAGGCAAGAUCAAGUGACUGGCGCUAGGGGCAGCGUGCUGCUGCGCGGCCUUCGGCGCGAGAUUCAAAUCAGCCAGCUACGCAUGUAGAACUGCCCGGUGAUGGCUUGCGGACGCGGGUUCGAUUCCCGCCGGCUCCACCA
This 374-nucleotide transfer-messenger RNA is filed under the name Burkholderiales. Its description in RNAcentral is "Rubrivivax_A sp018240325 Standard tmRNA". It matches the Rfam family "transfer-messenger RNA". Rfam says of the family: Bacterial tmRNA, also known as 10Sa RNA or SsrA, is named for its dual tRNA and mRNA-like properties. Its role is to liberate the mRNA from a stalled ribosome. RNAcentral also lists the same sequence under 1 other name. The record is from RNAcentral. Lineage: Bacteria; Pseudomonadati; Pseudomonadota; Betaproteobacteria.